Long non-coding RNA from Acanthopagrus latus (yellowfin seabream), 2542 nucleotides. RefSeq lists it as uncharacterized. The transcript is spliced from 2 exons. The record is from RefSeq and is a predicted model, not a curated record. NCBI's taxonomy places the organism in Eukaryota, Metazoa, Chordata, Actinopteri, Spariformes, Sparidae.
ACAAAAUCAAUUCAAACUUAGACCAUAAAAAAGGCAAAUCAUAAUUACGAGACAAAAAUAUGAGUAAAAAGUUGGUCAAAAAGUCUACUAUGGGAUAGAAAGUUGAAAAUGUGCAGAUGAGACAUGCUUAUGAUGUGAAAGUUAAAAUAAUCAUAAUAAAUGACUAUCAUCGAAUAGAGAGUUGUAUUAUGAGAUAGCAAGUCAUACUAAAGGCAUAAAAAGGGGUUCAUGGGUAAAUUAUGAUUUACAAAGCUCAGAAUUAUGAGAUAAAAGUAGUAAUCAUGAGAUACACUACUCAAAAUUAGUUAUCAAUAUUGGGAUUUUGUUGCAUAUAUGUGCAUGGACACGUCUUGUAAAAGUGCUUUACAUGGAAUAAUUAUGAGGUAAAAUGUCAUUAUUAAAAAUCAUGAGAUUUAAAGUUGAAAUAAGAGAGAAAGGGGCGGGAUGAUGAGAUUAAGUCAUGGGCCUGUUCGAGUGAGUAAAAAAAAAAAGUCAAAAUCGUUAGAUAAAUGUUGACUUCUACCUCUGAAUUAUGACUUACAUACCUCAUGACGACAUAUUUGUUUCCACUUUAACUGGCAGAGAUGGUCUCCCAUACCAUCAACCCUGCUGCAGACUGACACUACACACACACACACACACACACACACACACCACUGCAUUUCUCCAGUGGUGUCAUUAUGAGAAAUUUAGGUUAAGAAGAAGGUUGUGUGUCUUUAGAGAGGUUGGCUAUGAGAACACGACGUAAACCUCGGCGGUAAGUAUCAUCAAACCAGCAGCAGCAGCAGCAGCAGCAGCGCCACAGGGGAGGUCAUUAUCACCGCUACAGAACUGGUUUGACGGGGAGACACGCUGGAGGAAGUGUAGUCAUGCCAAUGCACUGAAACUUCCAUGCACGUCAGACUGUGUUUCUUUUGUUUAGGUGGACAAAUGUCGUAAAAAAAAAAGAGCGGAUUUGGGGCCACAACACGUCAAACAUUUAUAGACAUCUCGAUAACUUUAGCGCGUAACGCCACCGCAGUGUGGGCCUACACAUCCAGACUCUGUGCGCUGUUUGAUUGCGUUGGCUGAUACGAGCUGUUAGUCCACACGGACGUCCGCUGUUGUCAAAACAGAAUCGAGCCGAUAAAAAGUUGCUAUCUGAUGGGUGAAGCCGUCAAACGUGCGUUUUACGCACAGCGCCGCACAGGCGUGCUGCGCCUUCAGCACUCUCCACACGCGGCUCACCUGAGACUAAAAACCCUUCCUGUCAGUCACUUACCUGGCGCGGAGUGAGCCCGGGGUUUCUCUUCUCCCUCAGCUCUUCGAUCAGGUGUAUCUCAUCCGACCAGGGGAGCGUACCUGCAGGGAGUUGUCAUGUCACCUCACCGCUGACGCUCAUUGGUCUUCACUCAGCUGCUCGCGGGCUCCGAAAUGACUUCUCCCCUUCAUUUACAAACCAGCAAGACAAGUGGAUGCACUUUCGUAGAGCAAGUGCCCAGGCGAGUGUGAUGCUCAGGUUAUUUUUAGCAACGACGUGAUAUUUUUAAAAGAACAACAGCUCACUGUUAAUUUUAUUACAUUGCAAUUCUAAAUGAAGCUCUCAAGUUUUAAGAAAAAUAUUUUUUUAAUGCCUAACAAACAAACUAAACUGUCAUUGUUUCCAUGAUUGAAUAAACAAACUGACCUUAGAGGACAACACAAUUUCAUACGGUUUCACUUUGUUUACACGUGGCGGACCCCGCCACCUUUCUAGCUUCAAACAGCGUUCUCGGGACCUUAUUGUCCUCUGAGAACAGCUUGUUUGUUCAGUUCUGGGAAAAAUAUAACUACCUCUGAGUUUGUAUCAUUACCUCAUGAGUUUGAAUGUUUUCAUAUAGUUCCCCUCACAAUCACAAUGACUGUUCUGCACAAAGCAUCCUCAGGGCAGGGUGCUGGAGAGUAUGAGUGAUAUGCAGAGAGACCAGUUCUGCAGGUCAUCAGAAACCAUGAGGUCACAGCCGAACACACAAAACAAGACGCGGCCCUUUUUUUUUUUUUUUCCUUCCCCCAUGUUUUAAUUCUUUGGGAGUAACAUGAUGAAAAGUGUUGGACAGCAGAGCGUCACCGACUCUUACACAUUCACACAGCAAAGUACACGACACUGCACGGCGUGAAACACAACCAUAAAAACAAAAACAAAAACAAAAAAAAAGAAAGAACAACAAAGCCUUCACGUCAAAAAUGCUGGCAAUAAAUAGACUGAUCUUAUUAAAUUUAUAUUCAAUACUCUUCUGUACAGAUGGUUCAUGAAUUACAAUACAUCAACCGAACAAUUCUCUUGAGGAAGAGCAACACGGUUACGCACACAGGAGAAAAAAAAAUCAUGUAAACAGAGAGAGAGAGGAAGAAAACGGCGCAGAGAUACUUCUGUCACACACACGGUAAACCCACACACGCAUGCACGAUCAGCGACCAUGCAGAGGAUCCAGAGUACGCCGACAAGAGGCAACACAUGAUAAUGAAUACAGUACAUCUUUCUCUUUUCCCUCCACAUGAAAAGGCGCGCACACACACACUCACA